This 254-nucleotide ribosomal RNA is filed under the name uncultured bacterium. RNAcentral describes it as "partial 16S ribosomal RNA". It matches the Rfam family "Bacterial small subunit ribosomal RNA", at positions 524 to 777 of the family's 1533-position model. The record is from RNAcentral.
UACGUAGGGUGCAAGCGUUGCCCGGAUUUAUUGGGCGUAAAGAGCGCGUAGGCGGUCCGGUAAGUCCGCUCUGAAAGUCCGGGGCUCAACCCCGGGAGGCGGGCGGAUACUGUCGGGCUAGAGUCCGGAAGAGGCGAGUGGAAUUCCUGGUGUAGCGGUGAAAUGCGCAGAUAUCAGGAGGAACACCAAUGGCGAAGGCAGCUCGCUGGGACGGUACUGACGCUGAGGCACGAAGGCCAGGGGAGCAAACGGGG